ACCGAAGUAGCUCAGUUGGGAGAGCGUUAGCCUGAAAGCGUUAGCCUGAAGAUUCUAACUGUCCCUGGUUCGAGUCCGGGUUUCGGCA
RNAcentral lists this transfer RNA (88 nucleotides) under Dufourea novaeangliae. It matches the Rfam family "tRNA". Rfam says of the family: Transfer RNA (tRNA) molecules are approximately 80 nucleotides in length. Their secondary structure includes four short double-helical elements and three loops (D, anti-codon, and T loops). The record is from Rfam by way of RNAcentral. Lineage: Eukaryota; Metazoa; Arthropoda; Insecta; Hymenoptera; Halictidae.